CAGCAUUUGAGACUAUGCUAAAUCUUGCUCAUCGUCUAGCCCCACCUCUUUUUAGCUAGGUUCUUUAUCAUGUCCUUGGUGUUCGUCCAGGCUUAUUAUCCACUAAUUGGGCCAUUGUUGAACGAGUUAUGCCUUGGUAUCCAAGCUAAUGGAUUGGCCAAAUCCCUUUCUGGAGUUUAUGCUAAGGAUUUGCACGCCUGCUUGACCGCUAUAAAAUGCAUUCCUUCUAUCCCUGGCCAUGUGCUUCGGAAUGAUGCUUUGAUCAUGACAAGUAUUUGGAUUGCUUGGAAGAUGUCUAUCCCUGGCCAUGUGCUUCAAGCCUUUGCUUCUAUCUUCCAUCUGCUUCUCCAUUACUCAAGGUGAUUGAUAGUUAAAACAAACUUAUAUUGCGGGUGCAUGCUGUGGAAGUGGACCUCAAUGAAAUAACGUUGGGGCAGCAGGUUGCUGAUGAUUCAACAUCAUAUGGAUGCUGCAUUUUGGUCGAAGAACUUCUACAAAAACCUUCAAUUUUCAUUGCUUAUAGGGGACAAAUAAUGCUCAUCACCACUACGCCAUCAUGUUUUCACUACAUCACAUUGUUACUACAUCU
Molecule: long non-coding RNA, 589 nt
Organism: Zingiber officinale
Lineage: Eukaryota; Viridiplantae; Streptophyta; Magnoliopsida; Zingiberales; Zingiberaceae
Exons: 4
Source: RefSeq, a predicted model, not a curated record